This 973-nucleotide ribosomal RNA is filed under the name uncultured Prevotella sp. RNAcentral's name for it is "bacterial SSU rRNA". It matches the Rfam family "Bacterial small subunit ribosomal RNA". Lineage: Bacteria; Pseudomonadati; Bacteroidota; Bacteroidia; Bacteroidales; Prevotellaceae. The record is from RNAcentral.
GACGAACGCUGGCGGCGUGCCUAAUACGUGCAAGUCGAACGAGAGCGACCGGUGCUUGCACUGGUCAAUCUAGUGGCGAACGGGUGAGUAACACGUGGGUAACCUGCCCAUCAGAGGGGGAUAACAUUCGGAAACGGAUGCUAAAACCGCAUAGGUCUUCGAACCGCAUGGUUUGAAGAGGAAAAGAGGCGCAAGCUUCUGCUGAUGGAUGGACCCGCGGUGCAUUAGCUAGUUGGUGAGGUAACGGCUCACCAAGGCCGUGAUGCAUAGCCGACCUGAGAGGGUGAUCGGCCACAUUGGGACUGAGACACGGCCCAAACUCCUACGGGAGGCAGCAGUAGGGAAUCUUCCGCAAUGGACGCAAGUCUGACGGAGCAACGCCGCGUGAGUGAAGAAGGUUUUCGGAUCGUAAAACUCUGUUGUUAGAGAAGGACAAGUGCUAGAGUAACUGUUAGCGCCUUGACGGUAUCUAACCAGAAAGCCACGGCUAACUACGUGCCAGCAGCCGCGGUAAUACGUAGGUGGCAAGCGUUGUCCGGAUUUAUUGGGCGUAAAGCGAGCGCAGGCGGUUCCUUAAGUCUGAUGUGAAAGCCCCCGGCUCAACCGGGGAGGGUCAUUGGAAACUGGGGAACUUGAGUGCAGAAGAGGAGAGUGGAAUUCCAUGUGUAGCGGUGAAAUGCGUAGAUUAUGGAGGAACACCAGUGGCGAAGGCGACUCUCUGGUCUGUAACUGACGCUGAUGCUCGAAAGCGUGGGUAGCAAACAGGAAUAAAUACCCUGGUAUCCAUGGGCGAAUCCUGGUGGGGUUGUCAGCGUGGGGUGCCGUCGACGGCUGAUGAACAACAAGGUACCAGUUUUGGUUCCUUUAUGGGGGGUUGAUUGCCACCACUGUGUGUGUUUGUGGUGUGCGAUGUGUGUGUGUGUGGUGGUGAUGUGAGGUGCUAGUGUGUGCGCUGUGGGUGUGGUAGUGGGUG